AUUGAACGCUGGCGGCAGGCCUAACACAUGCAAGUCGAGCGGAUGAAGGGAGCUUGCUCCUGGAUUCAGCGGCGGACGGGUGAGUAAUGCCUAGGAAUCUGCCUGGUAGUGGGGGAUAACGUCCGGAAACGGGCGCUAAUACCGCAUACGUCCUGAGGGAGAAAGUGGGGGAUCUUCGGACCUCACGCUAUCAGAUGAGCCUAGGUCGGAUUAGCUAGUUGGUGGGGUAAAGGCCUACCAAGGCGACGAUCCGUAACUGGUCUGAGAGGAUGAUCAGUCACACUGGAACUGAGACACGGUCCAGACUCCUACGGGAGGCAGCAGUGGGGAAUAUUGGACAAAGGGCGAAAGCCUGAUCCAGCCAUGCCGCGUGUGUGAAGAAGGUCUUCGGAUUGUAAAGCACUUUAAGUUGGGAGGAAGGGCAGUAAGUUAAUACCUUGCUGUUUUGACGGUACCAACAGAAUAAGCACCGGCUAACUACGUG
This 484-nucleotide ribosomal RNA is filed under the name uncultured bacterium. RNAcentral's name for it is "partial 16S ribosomal RNA". It matches the Rfam family "Bacterial small subunit ribosomal RNA", at positions 30 to 507 of the family's 1533-position model. The record is from RNAcentral.